Panicum hallii is the source of this 993-nucleotide long non-coding RNA. RefSeq lists it as uncharacterized. NCBI's taxonomy places the organism in Eukaryota, Viridiplantae, Streptophyta, Magnoliopsida, Poales, Poaceae. The transcript is spliced from 4 exons. The record is from RefSeq and is a predicted model, not a curated record.
UCCACCGUCCCUACGCCAUCCUCCUUGGCGGACGGGAUGCCGGAUACCACCCCGACGCAGCCGGCCUCCACCAGCGAGAUAUCGGAUCUGCCCUUCCUGCUCUCGUCCGCCCCCCACCGUGGCUACUAUCCUCCUUGCCUCGGCGUGUGGUUGCUGGUCGGUAGGGAGAGGGAGAUGGAGAGAGGAUGAGGGAGGAAGCCCUCCUCAACAUCGGCCGCCUCGUGGAUCUACUUAGCAGUGCCUAACACAUUGCUCACCUUGCCAAGGAAAAAGAAGUAAGGCAAGCAAACUCUCAAGAGCAUGGUUUGUUGGUCGGCAUCAAGGACAUAUCAACUCGUGAAAACAAAUGGAGGCAAUUCUGAUUUCUGAAUGCCAACUCCAGUAUUUUUUGUGUGUUCUUUCUUUAAGUUACAAGGUCUGCGUAUUACAGUCCUUGACUGGUUUUCCAAUUGCCAGGUAUCUUGUCUGAACACUUGCAUUUGUUUUUGCAGCAUCUAUCUUUUUGGCAAAAAAUAACUGAAGUGUCCAUCCUUGCCUACUUGUAAAAAUCUGAUCCCUAACCGAGUCUAAUAUGCACCGGAAGGAAUAUACCUCUACAAGCUAAACAAAUUAAUUAAAGGACUACGCGACUAGUCCAAGGAUCGGAGUCCGCCACUCGGUCGGGGAGAUAUCGGAUCGAUAUGGACUAAUUCCUAGUCAAUCACGUCCCUUUUCCGACCGGCUAUGUAAACAACGGCCGGUCAGCUCAAGCAUAAAGAGAAGUCCAAGCUGAUCCUGAUGCAGUCAAGAAGCCCUGCGUGAAGAUAACAAAUACUAUUGGAUUGGGAUGUGAAGCUCGUGUACUGUACGUGUUGGUUCCAUCAUCAUGGUCUUGUAACUGAUGCAUUGUGUGCCUGGCAAUCUUGAAAGGAGUAGUACACAAAUUCUUCGGCGCCAAGCUACCAUUAUAGGCUACUUUGACACACAGCAUCCAAUCCCAGCAUCCUCUGCAUA